CUGGCUCAGAACGAACGCUGGCGGCAGGCUUAACACAUGCAAGUCGAACGGGCCCUUCGGGGUCAGUGGCAGACGGGUGAGUAACGCGUGGGAACGUGCCCUUCAGUUUGGAAUAACCCAGGG
RNAcentral lists this ribosomal RNA (123 nucleotides) under Microvirga guangxiensis. Its description in RNAcentral is "16S rRNA. Bacterial SSU". It matches the Rfam family "Bacterial small subunit ribosomal RNA", at positions 19 to 153 of the family's 1533-position model. Lineage: Bacteria; Pseudomonadati; Pseudomonadota; Alphaproteobacteria; Hyphomicrobiales; Methylobacteriaceae. The record is from RNAcentral.